This 907-nucleotide ribosomal RNA is filed under the name Neofusicoccum kwambonambiense. Its description in RNAcentral is "LSU rRNA". It matches the Rfam family "Eukaryotic large subunit ribosomal RNA", at positions 38 to 963 of the family's 3401-position model. Lineage: Eukaryota; Fungi; Ascomycota; Dothideomycetes; Botryosphaeriales; Botryosphaeriaceae. The record is from RNAcentral.
GCAUAUCAAUAAGCGGAGGAAAAGAAACCAACAGGGAUUGCCUUAGUAACGGCGAGUGAAGCGGCAAUAGCUCAAAUUUGAAAGCUGGCCCCUUCGGGGUCCGCGUUGUAAUUUGUAGAGGAUGAUUCGGCGAGGGCUCCCGUCUAAGUCCCUUGGAACAGGGCGUCAUAGAGGGUGAGAAUCCCGUAUGUGAUGGGCUGCCUUAGCCAUGUGAAUCUCCUUCGACGAGUCGAGUUGUUUGGGAAUGCAGCUCUAAAUGGGAGGUAAAUUUCUUCUAAAGCUAAAUACCGGCCAGAGACCGAUAGCGCACAAGUAGAGUGAUCGAAAGAUGAAAAGCACUUUGGAAAGAGAGUUAAAAAGUACGUGAAAUUGUUGAAAGGGAAGCGCUUGCAGCCAGACUUGUCCGCAGUUGCUCAGCUUGUCUCCUGACAGGCGUACUCUUCUGCGGCCAGGCCAGCAUCAGUUCGGGCGGUCGGAUAAAGACCUAGGGAAUGUAGCUCCUCUCGGGGAGUGUUAUAGCCCUGGGUGCAAUGCGGCCAGCCUGGACUGAGGAUCUCGCUUCGGCUAGGAUGCUGGCGUAAUGGCUGUAAGCGGCCCGUCUUGAAACACGGACCAAGGAGUCUAACAUCUAUGCGAGUGUUUGGGUGUCAAACCCAUGCGCGUAAUGAAAGUGAACGGAGGUGGGAACCCUCACGGGUGCACCAUCGACCGAUCCUGAUGUCUUCGGAUGGAUUUGAGUAAGAGCAUAGCUGUUGGGACCCGAAAGAUGGUGAACUAUGCCUGAAUAGGGUGAAGCCAGAGGAAACUCUGGUGGAGGCUCGCAGCGGUUCUGACGUGCAAAUCGAUCGUCAAAUUUGGGUAUAGGGGCGAAAGACUAAUCGAACCAUCUAGUAGCUGGUUCCUGCGA